Long non-coding RNA from Drosophila mojavensis, 565 nucleotides. RefSeq lists it as uncharacterized. The record is from RefSeq and is a predicted model, not a curated record. The transcript is spliced from 3 exons. NCBI's taxonomy places the organism in Eukaryota, Metazoa, Arthropoda, Insecta, Diptera, Drosophilidae.
CAGUGCUAGUGCUGCAAAUCCAUCGAUGGAAAUAUCGAUAGUAUCGAUGGACUUUCUUUUGUUAGAUAGGUCGAUGGAAUUUUCUCGAUGUCGAUAGAUCGCUACAGACGCCAAGCCACAACACAUAGAUACCUAUUUACCACAUUAUUUAAUUGUUGGCGGUUCCUCCACGGAAAAUAUAACAUUUUUUGAUCCCAUCUGAUAAAAGUGCUUCUUCGCCUGCAGACGCCAAUAAGGAAUCUUCAUUUGCUGUUACGGUACACACUGAAAAUAUUGCGCCUCCGAAUAAGCGAAAGAAAUUUGAGAAAUCUUAUGUGUGGAAGUUUUUUGAAAAAUGCCAAGAAAAAAACUUUGUGAAAUGCCUGUUGUGUGGGCAGCAAUAUAAAACGAGCGGGAACACAUCAAAUAUGCAAGAGCAUUUAAAGCGUGCACAUAAUGGAUCUCACGAUAAUUAAUUUCAGCUUUAAGCUCAAGACUUUUGUGAAAGAUAGUCAAGUUUUGUUUUUUAAUUUUAAGUUAAAUUUUAAAACUUGUUAAUUACAGUCGAAAUUUUUGGUUUUUAGUU